ACGGCCAGAACCUUGGCGAUAUAGGGGAUCAGUGGUAGGUUCAGGAUCAAAAGCACCACGUUUCCGAUAUACAUUGAAAUGAUCACCGACCAGAAAAUCUGUGGAUCAUCCACCAUCAAACGUGGGCC
This is a small RNA of Rhodobacteraceae bacterium HIMB11, 128 nucleotides long. It matches the Rfam family "Ruegeria cis8 sRNA". From Rfam's summary of the family: Cis-encoded. Targets hypothetical protein. Higher sRNA expression during C-limited growth. The record is from Rfam. Lineage: Bacteria; Pseudomonadati; Pseudomonadota; Alphaproteobacteria; Rhodobacterales; Paracoccaceae.